UAGGGAAUCUUCCGCAAUGGGCGAAAGCCUGACGGAGCAACGCCGCGUGAGUGAUGAAGGUCUUCGGAUCGUAAAACUCUGUUAUUAGGGAAGAACAAAUGUGUAAGUAACUAUGCACGUCUUGACGGUACCUAAUCAGAAAGCCACGGCUAACUACGUGCCAGCAGCCGCGGUAAUACGUAGGUGGCAAGCGUUAUCCGGAAGUAUUGGGCGUAAAGCGCGCGUAGGCGGUUUUUUAAGUCUGAUGUGAAAGCCCACGGCUCAACCGUGGAGGGUCAUUGGAAACUGGAAAACUUGAGUGCAGAAGAGGAAAGUGGAAUUCCAUGUGUAGCGGUGAAAUGCGCAGAGAUAUGGAGGAACACCAGUGGCGAAGGCGACUUUCUGGUCUGUAACUGACGCUGAUGUGCGAAAGCGUGGUGAUCAAACAGG
This 429-nucleotide ribosomal RNA is filed under the name Actinomycetes bacterium. Its description in RNAcentral is "Actinobacteria bacterium partial 16S ribosomal RNA". It matches the Rfam family "Bacterial small subunit ribosomal RNA", at positions 355 to 776 of the family's 1533-position model. Lineage: Bacteria; Bacillati; Actinomycetota; Actinomycetes. The record is from RNAcentral.